This 497-nucleotide ribosomal RNA is filed under the name uncultured bacterium. Its description in RNAcentral is "partial 16S ribosomal RNA". It matches the Rfam family "Bacterial small subunit ribosomal RNA", at positions 28 to 507 of the family's 1533-position model. The record is from RNAcentral.
GAUGAACGCUGGCGGCGUGCCUAAUACAUGCAAGUCGAGCGAACAGACGAGGAUCUUGCUCGUCUGACGUUAGCGGCGGACGGGUGAGUAACACGUGUAUAACCUACCUAUAAGACUGGGAUAACUUCGGGAAACCGGAGCUAAUACCGGAUAAGAUAUUGAACCGCAUGGUUCAAUAGUGAAAGACGGUGUUGCUGUCACUUAUAGAUGGAUCCGCGCCGCAUUAGCUAGUUGGUAAGUUAACGGCUUAUCAAGGCAACGAUGCGUAGCCGACGUGAGAGGGUGAUCGGCCACACUGGAACUGAGACACGGUCCAGACUCCUACGGGAGGCAGCAGUAGGGAAUCUUCCGCAGUGGGCGAAAGCCUGACGGAGCAACGGCGAGUGAGUGAUGACGGUCUUCGGAUCGUAAAAAUCUGUUAUUAGGGAAGAACAAAUGUGUAAGUAAAUAUGCACGUCUUGACGGUACCUAAUCAGAAAGCAACGGCUAACUACGUG